AGCGAACGUUAGCGGCGGGCCUAACACAUGCAAGUCGAACGAGAAAACCUUCGGGUGAGUAAAGUGGCGCACGGGUGAGGAACGCGUAGGUAAUCUACCCUCUGGCGGGGGACAACACUCCGAAAGGAAUGCUAAUACCGCGUAAGACCCCACCUACUACGGUAGGAGAGGUUAAAGGUGCCUCAAAGCACCACCAGAGGAUGAGCCUGCGUCCCAUCAGCUUGUGGUGAGGUAAAGCUUACCAAGGCGAAGACGGGUAGCUGGUCUGAGAGGAUGAUCAGCCACACUGGCACUGGAACACGGG
Molecule: ribosomal RNA, 304 nt
Filed under: uncultured bacterium
Lineage: Bacteria
Description: bacterial SSU rRNA
Rfam family: Bacterial small subunit ribosomal RNA
Source: RNAcentral